UCACCAGCUGCAGAAACAUCUACAGCUCCAUCAACAAGAACAACCCCUGAACUAACAUGUAUAAUAGCUACAGCGGCAUCUAUAGCUCGAUUAACAAAAAAUCCUGCACCGACAUGUAUAUCAGCUACAGCAACAUCUACAGCUCGAUCAUCAACAACAACCCCUGCCCCACCGUCUACAUCUCGCUCAGCAGUCACUGAAUCAACAUCUACAACUCAAUCAAGACCACCUGCACCAACUUUAAGUUCAACUGUGCUAACAUCAACCACUCUGUCAUCAACAACAGCUGCACCAAGCUCAACAUCAACUGCAUCAACAUCGAUAUCAGCUGCAUUAGCAUCUACUCGAACACCAACAUCUACUUCUCAAAUGACAUCUCAACUUACAUCUACAACUCAACCAGCAAGUCAGUCUACGUCUUCAUCUCCAGAUUCUGUACCACAAACAUUUGCUUAUGCAACUUUUAAACUGAGAUCAUCUGUUGAGCUGAGCAAUGAUGAAAUCAUUACAUAUAUUGAAAAGUUUGUCAAGCACUUUCAAUCAAACAUUAGUGGGACCAUCAGGAUUACUGUGAAGAAAUCAAGAAAAUUGUUGGCCUAAGGAUCUGAUG
Long non-coding RNA from Sinocyclocheilus anshuiensis, 610 nucleotides. RefSeq lists it as uncharacterized. The transcript is spliced from 3 exons. NCBI's taxonomy places the organism in Eukaryota, Metazoa, Chordata, Actinopteri, Cypriniformes, Cyprinidae. The record is from RefSeq and is a predicted model, not a curated record.